This 2748-nucleotide long non-coding RNA is filed under the name Capsicum annuum. RNAcentral's name for it is "long non-coding RNA (CANN_LNC020204)". Lineage: Eukaryota; Viridiplantae; Streptophyta; Magnoliopsida; Solanales; Solanaceae. The record is from RNAcentral.
AAUUACUCCAUAAUCUCUUCUUCAAGCAUAGCUUCUCUUAGAGUUUUUGUUUUCCCAACCAACUUUGUUUCAACUUCAUUUGGAUUAUUCUCAAACACACAUGGCUUAGUGCAUAGACACCUUCUUUGGAGUUUGCUACAAUGGCCAUCUGUAAACUUCUCCUUAAGACAUGCUUUUCUACAUGAUGAUUUGGUAAUACAUAAUCCUUUGAAUUUUUGGCUUUCUGUUUUGCAAGUUUGUUGAGCUUCCACCCCUACAAUCAUUUACAAUUAGUUACAAAUGUUAUAAAAGAAAGAUUUCUCUAUACUAUUUAGAGGAAUAUGAGUAAAUCAUUUAGUACCCUGAAUUAUGACCAAAUUUGCUACGACACACUCUAACUUCACAGGGUUCAUAUUACGCCUGAACUCAAUUUUAGUGUAUUUUUGUCUCUCUUUUAGCUGAUGUGACACCUAUGAUAUGGACCCCAUUUUUAUGUAAUAAAGGUGUCAUGUCAACACAAAAGGGUGACAAAAAUACACUAAAAUUGAGUUAGGGGGGAUUAAUAAGACCUGUGCGAAGUUGGAGUAUGUCAUAACAACUUUGACCAUAGUGUGAGGGGAUGCUGGAUGCUUAUCUCGAGGAAUAUAUACACAUAAAUAACUAUGUUACAAGAAAUAGAGUAAUAUUUUGAACAAAAAAGAUAAAUAAUAGUACUAUUACACAUUUUUAUUUUGAAGUUUAUGAGGUUUUAGAGGAAUAAAAGGUGAAGACAAACCAUAGGCAACAAAGAGCAUCAUUGCCAAGACCAAAAAUGCCAUAAAGUAAAUGGAAAGAGCCAUAAUCUCUUUGAAUGAGUUAAAAGUAUAUGAAAUAUUAAUAUUAAUAAUAAGAAAGAUUGCAAUUUAGAGUUGUGAAUAAACAUUAACACAAUAGAGGUAUUUAUAGGAAAUGAAAUAAAUGUAAUAGGAGCAACAAAUGUGUGAAACAAUGGUUGUUGGUAAUCUUGAUGCUUGGAGAUAUAUCAGGAUCACAAAAGGCAUGUUUAUUUUUAAUUAUUUUUUAAUUGUGGAUAGGUGAAGCGAAAAUGGAAAUCAAAAUAUCACCAACGAGGAAAGUUCAGGUAUCCAAUCAACUGAGCUUCUAAGAUUUCGAGAAAAAAAUAAACAUGUCCCUCCAGUAUCAAGUUUUAUUAUUUUUCUUUGAGUAAAUGCACUGUUUUCACCCUGAACUAUAAUGCACUGUUUUCACCCUGAAACUAGAAAUGAAAUUGCUGAGACACACCUAAAUUUAAGGAGGGUCCUAGUAACUCCUAGACUAAUUAAAACCGUAUUUUUGGCAACCUUAGUGCCUACGUGGCACAUACAUGUGCCUACAUGAACCUUUAGUGUGUUGAUUCACGUAGUGUGCCAUGUAGACACUAAGGUUGCCAAAAAUACGGUUUUAAUUAGUCCAGGGGUAAUAGGACCCCUUUUAAGUCGGAGUGUGUCUCAAUAAUUUUAUUUGUGGUUUAGGAUAGAAACAAUGCAUUUUCUCUUUUUCUUUUAUUUUUUUAUUCAGUAUCUGGUACUUGCAUUGAGGCUAUUACAAAUAGUGAUUAAAUGAACAUACAAAAAAUUUCAACAUAAAGACCAUAGAUGGUCAUUUUUCAUUCAAACACGCACAACCUUAAUACAACAUACAUCAAGAUUGAUGUGUCACAACUUAUUUAAGAACACAACAUUAUAAGCUACCCUUUGAGAAAGGCAACACUUAAUUUAAUUUUGAGUGACACAAAAUUCAUAAUCAAACUUAAUUACACCAUCAUAAGCUCUUUUUCAAGCAAUUCUGCUUUGAAAAUUUUAGCAUCCUGAACCAAAAUAGUUCCAGCAUCAUUAGGAAUAUUGUCAAAUACACAUGGCUUAAAGCACCAGCAAUAUCUUCUGAUUCCUUCACAACGACCAUCUUCAAAAUUCUCCUUCUCCACACAAGCUUUUCUACAUGUAGAGUCAUCAACACCUAUCUUACAUGCCCUAUAAUUGAAUGUUUUGCUUUUUGUUUUGCAAAUGCUAGAACCUUGCAUCCGCAAAUGCUAGAACCUUGCAUCCCUACAAUCAUUCACAAGUUGUUACAAAUGUUAGAAAAGAAAGAUAUGUAAUAAAAAAAAUUAGAGAAAAUGCUCUAUUUCCACCUUGAACUAUACGCGAAAAGAUUAAGACACACCCGAACUUAGCUUUAGGAGGAUCCCAUUACCCCUGGACUAAUUAAAAUCAUAUUUAUUACAAUCUUAGUGCCUACGUGGCAAAGACGUGGCACAACACAUUGAAGGGCUAUCAACACAUUUUUCUACCAUUUUUUUGCUUUUUGUUUUGCAAAUGCUAGAACCUUUCACCCCUACAAUCAUUCACAAGUUGUUACAAAUGUUAGUAAAGAAAGAUAUGUGAUAAAUUUUUUUAGAGAAAAUGCUCUAUUUUCACCUUGAACUAUAUGCGAACAGGCUAAAACACAUCCGAAGAACUUUAGGAGGAUCCUAUUACCUCUGGACUAAUUAAAAUCAUAUUUAUGACAACCUUAGUCCCUACAUGACACAUACGUGGCACAACACACUGAAGGGUCCACGUAGACAUACGUAGGCACAAUACACAUAAUUUCUUCUACUUUUGGUGACAACUUUAGUGCCUACGUGGAACAUACGUGGCACAACAUAGUGAAGGAUCCACGUAGGCAUACGUAGGCACAAUACACAUAAUUUCUUCUACUUUUGGUGGACUAGAAGUUGCAACUGCUUCUACU